ACGGGUGAGUAACGCGUGGGAACAUACCCAACUCUACGGAAUAACUCAGGGAAACUUGUGCUAAUACCGUGUACGCCCUUCGGGGGAAAGAUUUAUCGGAGUUGGAUUGGCCCGCGUUGGAUUAGCUAGUUGGUGGGGUAAAGGCCUACCAAGGCGACGAUCCAUAGCUGGUCUGAGAGGAUGAUCAGCCACAUUGGGACUGAGACACGGCCCAAACUCCUACGGGAGGCAGCAGUGGGGAAUAUUGGACAAUGGGCGCAAGCCCGAUCCAGCCAUGCCGCGUGUGUGAUGAAGGCCUUAGGGUUGUAAAGCACUUUCACCGGAGAAGAUAAUGACGGUAUCCGGAGAAGAAGCCCCGGCUAACUUCGUGCCAGCAGCCGCGGUAAUACGAAGGGGGCUAGCGUUGUUCGGAAUUACUGGGCGUAAAGCGCACGUAGGCGGAUCGAUCAGUCAGGGGUGAAAUCCCAGAGCUCAACUCUGGAACUGCCUUUGAUACUGUCGGUCUAGAGUAUGGAAGAGGUGAGUGGAAUUCCGAGUGUAGAGGUGAAAUUCGUAGA
This 557-nucleotide ribosomal RNA is filed under the name uncultured Hyphomicrobiales bacterium. RNAcentral's name for it is "bacterial SSU rRNA". It matches the Rfam family "Bacterial small subunit ribosomal RNA", at positions 102 to 694 of the family's 1533-position model. Lineage: Bacteria; Pseudomonadati; Pseudomonadota; Alphaproteobacteria; Hyphomicrobiales. The record is from RNAcentral.